GAUGAAGAACGUAGCGAAAUGCGAUAAGUAGUGUGAAUUGCAGAAUUCAGUGAAUCAUCGAAUCUUUGAACGCACAUUGCGCCCCUUGUAUUCCAUGGGGCAUGCCUGUUCGAGCGUCAUUUGUACCUUCAAGCUUUGCUUGGUGUUGGGUGUUUGUCCUGAGGGACUCGCCUUAAAGUAAUUGGCAGCCAGUGUUUGGUUUUGAAGCGCAGCACAAGUCGCGAUUCAAAGCUAUACGCCCGCUUCCACAAGCCUUUUUCACUUUUGACCUCGGAUCAGGUAGGGAUACCCGCUGAACUUAAGCAUAUCAAUAAGCGGAGGA
Molecule: unclassified non-coding RNA, 322 nt
Filed under: soil metagenome
Description: partial contains 5.8S ribosomal RNA, internal transcribed spacer 2, and large subunit ribosomal RNA
Rfam family: 5.8S ribosomal RNA (bases 1-119)
Source: RNAcentral